GCCGGAGUGGCGGAACGGGUAGACGCAAGGGACUUAAAAUCCCUUGUCCGCAAGGGCGUGCGGGUUCGAGUCCCGCCUCCGGCA
This 84-nucleotide transfer RNA is filed under the name Myxococcales bacterium. RNAcentral describes it as "tRNA-Leu". It matches the Rfam family "tRNA". From Rfam's summary of the family: Transfer RNA (tRNA) molecules are approximately 80 nucleotides in length. Lineage: Bacteria; Pseudomonadati; Myxococcota; Myxococcia; Myxococcales. The record is from RNAcentral.